CUUCUCUUUCCUUCUUCUUCUUUUUUCUUCCUCUUCUUCUCUCUGUCGAUUUUAUUUUCCGUGGAUUGAGCUCGAAACUCUCGUGAAUAAUUCAUUUAAAGCUUUUAGUCAUUAAAUAGAUGAUGUAGGUGUUGGUGCUAUGGUUGUUUGAGCACGGGAAGAAUAAGUCCGAGUUGCUGCUGUAAAUCGAGAACAAGGUUUUGUUUCUGAGAUGAAGAAGAUCAAGAGCAAUUGAUGAUUCAGAUGAGAACCUUGAUGUUUGACUGUGGUGGUGUUGAUUAGGGUUGAUGUUUCAGAAUCGAGGAAAAAGAUGAGAAAGAUGAAUUGGUGAAUUGAAUUUUGUUGUUGGUGUUUCGGAAUUAGAGUCCUGUGAUCUGAAGUUGGACAUGAACCGGAUAUUGGCUAGCCAGAUAAGAUGGUUAUGGUUGUGGUGCUGCUGAACUGAGUUGGUGGUGAUUUUUAACAGAAGUUGAAAUUAUUAUUGAAGAUAAUGGAGCUGGUGGUGAAAGGUUGCAACAGAUGUGGUUUGAAUGUGUGGGCGGUAGACGUUGUGUGUGUUGAAUGAGUCGAAGUUAAUUGAUAUGAGCUAUAUGUACAAACUGUGCAUAUGAAAUUGUAGCAGAAGGUAUGCAAGACAUGAAAGGGAUUAGGAGAAUGAUGGUAGGUGCAUGGAAAGUGAAAUGGAGAGGAUGAUGAAAUUGAGUAUGAGCAGUUGGUGGUGGUGGUGGCAAUAAGAGUGUAAUUGAGUUACAGAUAUACACAAGGAAGGAUUGAUGAAUUACAAAGAAAAAAGCUAGUAUUGUAGUGAUGCUAGAGUUGCAGUUGAUUUAUGUGUUGAGAUUGAAUUUGAAGUAGAGGUUGCUGAUGCUGACCUAAGUGUGGUGCUGCUGUGAUGGACUUGAAGCAGUGAGACAAGAAAAGGGUGUCUACUGAUGUGUUAUAGUUAGUGAGGCAGAUGUGGGGAUAGUGAUGUUGAUCAAGAUGAGAUGUUGAAUCUCAUAUGUGGAGGUUGAGUUAAAGGUUGGUGCUAGGUUUAUAUGUCAAUGCAGAUGGGAGCUGAAAUGUACGCAAGUGGAACUGGUGUUGCGGGGUUGUUGUAAUGAUGUUCAGUUGUUGGUAGAAGUUAAGAUGUGUUUGUUGCAGGUGGAAUCUGGUUGUGUAGAGAGUGAUUCUGAAUCUAAGUUGAAUUGAAGAAAUGGUGUCAGUAUUGAAGUGGUUUGAAGGUGAAGUUGUAGAUGAUUUGCAUAUGAAGUAGUAAUGGUGUCGAUUGAUAAUCAAGAAUGAGAGGCGGGGGUUGUAUUUAGUUAAGCUGUAGGGUUGUAAUUGAAUUAGAAAUGCAUCCUUUGUGUCUUGAUCUGUUUGUGUUGUAUCAUGAGCUUAAAUUUUUUAGUCA
Molecule: long non-coding RNA, 1393 nt
Organism: Papaver somniferum (opium poppy)
Lineage: Eukaryota; Viridiplantae; Streptophyta; Magnoliopsida; Ranunculales; Papaveraceae
Exons: 2
Source: RefSeq, a predicted model, not a curated record